Molecule: long non-coding RNA, 252 nt
Filed under: Elaeis guineensis (African oil palm)
Lineage: Eukaryota; Viridiplantae; Streptophyta; Magnoliopsida; Arecales; Arecaceae
Description: long non-coding RNA (EGUI_LNC075720)
Source: RNAcentral
CACCUUCUCUCUCUAUUUUCUCUCUAUAAAUUCUCUCUCUAAAAUUUUCUCUCUCUAGACCUUUUCUCUCUCUGUAGAUUUUCUCUCUUUAGAAGUUUUAUGGACUAGUGGAAGAUCUAGAUACUUAGAUAAAUUCUAAUCUUGGUUGAUCCUAAGAGAGAUCUUGGAUUUAUGUUAUUAAAAUCGUUUAUCCAAAAUUUUUUCAUAUAUGAUUUUUAUGUUUGAUCAUGGUCAUGUAGAGAUACGACUGUC